UGGAGGCAGCAGUAAGGAAUAUUGGACAAUGGCCGCAAGCCUGAUCCAGCAAUACCGCGUGUGUGAAGAAGGCCUUCGGGUUGUAAAGCACUUUCAAUUGGGAGGAAAACCUAUCGGCUAAUACCCGGUAGCUUGACAUUACCUUUAGAAGAAGCACCGGCUAACUCCGUGCCAGCAGCCGCGGUAAUACGGAGGGUGCAAGCGUUAAUCGGAAUUACUGGGCGUAAAGCGUGCGUAGGCGGUUCGUUAAGUCAGAUGUGAAAGCCCCGGGCUCAACCUGGGAACUGCAUUUGAAACUGGCGGACUAGAGUUUAGUAGAGGGGAGUGGAAUUUCAGGCGUAGCGGUGAAAUGCGUAGAUAUCUGAAGGAACACCAGUGGCGAGGCGACUCCCUGGACUAAAACUGACGCUGAGGUACGAAAGCGUGGGUAGCAAACAGGAUUAGAUACCCUGGUAGA
This 457-nucleotide ribosomal RNA is filed under the name uncultured bacterium. Its description in RNAcentral is "bacterial SSU rRNA". It matches the Rfam family "Bacterial small subunit ribosomal RNA", at positions 343 to 794 of the family's 1533-position model. The record is from RNAcentral.